Small nucleolar RNA from Mercurialis annua (annual mercury), 72 nucleotides. RefSeq annotates it as small nucleolar RNA snoR60. The record is from RefSeq and is a predicted model, not a curated record. The transcript has a single exon. Lineage: Eukaryota; Viridiplantae; Streptophyta; Magnoliopsida; Malpighiales; Euphorbiaceae.
UAGCAUGUGAUGAUUUAACUCGGAUUCCCCUUCAAGACAUUAUGGGUGAUGUAAAAUGGAGUUUCUAAUGCU